CUACGUGCCAGCAGCCGCGGUAAUACGUAGGUGGCAAGCGUUGUCCGGAAUUAUUGGGCGUAAAGCGCGCGCAGGCGGAUUGGUCAGUCUGUCUUAAAAGUUCGGGGCUUAACCCCGUGAUGGGAUGGAAACUGCCAAUCUAGAGUAUCGGAGAGGAAAGUGGAAUUCCUAGUGUAGCGGUGAAAUGCGUAGAUAUUAGGAAGAACACCAGUGGCGAAGGCGACUUUCUGGACGAAAACUGACGCUGAGGCGCGAAAGCCAGGGGAGCGAACGGGAUUAGAUACCCCGGUAGUCCUGGCCGUAAACGAUGGGUACUAGGUGUAGGAGGUAUCGACCCCUUCUGUGCCGGAGUUAACGCAAUAAGUACCCCGCCUAGGGAGUACGACCGCAAGGUUGAAACUCAAAGGAAUUGACGGGGGCCCGCACAAGCGGUGGAGUAUGUGGUUUAAUUCGACGCAACGCGAAGAACCUUACCAGGUCUUGACAUCCCUCUGACCGCUCUAGAGAUAGAGCUUUC
RNAcentral lists this ribosomal RNA (517 nucleotides) under uncultured bacterium. RNAcentral's name for it is "bacterial SSU rRNA". It matches the Rfam family "Bacterial small subunit ribosomal RNA", at positions 501 to 1016 of the family's 1533-position model. The record is from RNAcentral.